RNAcentral lists this long non-coding RNA (274 nucleotides) under Erythranthe guttata (spotted monkey flower). Its description in RNAcentral is "long non-coding RNA (EGUT_LNC002847)". The record is from RNAcentral. Lineage: Eukaryota; Viridiplantae; Streptophyta; Magnoliopsida; Lamiales; Phrymaceae.
AUAUAAUAUUAUAUAUUACGUAUAACGUAUUUUUCAAAGUUCGAUAUUUCAUCGAAUUUCUUACUGAGCUUUAUAGCUCAUAUAGAUGUCUUUUAAUUGCAGGUAGUAGUGCUAGUAAUCCUCAACCGGGAUGGGUCGAGUAGCGGAUCGAGGUCUUGCCCGGAAUUUUGGAAGACGUACGAGGACCUAUGAACGAUGCUAAAGACUUUUGGUUAUUUUCUUUUGGUGGUGUAAUAUUAAAUCUAAAUACUUCCUUUUCGUACCUUUUAAACUC